GGCCACCGCGCGUCCCUGGAGGUACCCCCCCCCCUCCACCCGCCACGCCAGCAAGGCCUGGGAGGGGAAUCCCGGCAACACGGACUACAGUGUGCCCAACUCCCGGCCUCUUUCACAUCGACCUAACGAAACAGCAAAAUGAGCCGUGAUUCUGUUGAUCGAUUACAAUCAGAGCGGUUGUAGAAGUGACACAUACAGGCGAGGAUGGGCAGAUGGGCGGGGAGAGAGAAAGAGCCCAAGAGGCGGAGCCUCGUGGGCAUGGCAGCGGUGGUGCCCAGAUGUCUGAACAGAUUAAUACAGCCAGGUUUGCUCCCUCCUUGGGGUCAGGCGAGCACGUGUUCUGCCAGUGUCUCCUUACCUACUUCUCUUAAUUAUUUCUGCCACCCUGGCGGGGAGCUAUGAAGCACUUCUCCCUGACUCUCGCCGUCACAGUAAUAUGCUUGGCACCUCCUGCACGCACGACCCUCUAGAUGGGGCUGGUGAGCCCAUUCUGGAAGGGCCUACCACUGGGAAACCCCAUCUAGAUAUCAAAUCUUAGAGGGCUUCACUCCCUGUCUCCAGGUUCCCUAAGAGACCCUAUCAUCAACGUGGCUUUAAACAAGGCGAAGUGUUUGUCGGCUGCAAACCUCCAGUCUACAUGUUCCUUCUGAACCAUAGGCCAGCCAACCUGCCCUUUUCACUACAGAAUCAAACCUCUUAUGUCCAGGCCUGCUCCUCAUACAGCCUUCCUCCAACUCAGCUGAUUCCUCUCAUUGCUCAUGCAAGAACCCUGGAGUCAUCUUGAUUUGAUCUCUCCCACCACCUCACAUCACUGUAUCGUGGAAUUCAUCUCAGACAGAACACAGUGCAACCUCCCCUCGCUUUUCUGCUGCCCGCGUCUAUGGCUGAGCCAAUGUUCUACACCUGGCGUUCUGCAAUAGCUGGUUCUCUAGUCGCCCUUCUCUUCUCCAGUACAUUCUCCUCACAACAGUUGUAACAAUCCACUUCAAAGGGUGCUCCUCUAACCCAGACCCUCGAGUGGCCUCUGUCACUUUAUUGAAAGUGACAAUAUGCUACAAGGACUGCAGGAACGGCUGGACGUCUUGCCCAUCAUCAGUAUACAGAAUGAUGUCCAUUGUCAGUAUAUGGAGCAAAGUCUGGUAUGGGAGCCAAGCUACCAAGCAGACGAAUCUCAGUCAUAGGGAAAAGGACCCUGUUGCCCUCAUGGGAGAACAGAAGCUGAGCCCCAGGGUGUCCUCUGCCCACCUGACAACCACUUUGCACCCCCC
Molecule: non-coding RNA, 1268 nt
Organism: Arvicanthis niloticus (Nile rat)
Lineage: Eukaryota; Metazoa; Chordata; Mammalia; Rodentia; Muridae
Source: RefSeq, a predicted model, not a curated record